Molecule: transfer RNA, 87 nt
Filed under: Ramlibacter tataouinensis TTB310
Lineage: Bacteria; Pseudomonadati; Pseudomonadota; Betaproteobacteria; Burkholderiales; Comamonadaceae
Rfam family: tRNA
About the family: Transfer RNA (tRNA) molecules are approximately 80 nucleotides in length. Their secondary structure includes four short double-helical elements and three loops (D, anti-codon, and T loops). Further hydrogen bonds mediate the characteristic L-shaped molecular structure. tRNAs have two regions of fundamental functional importance: the anti-codon, which is responsible for specific mRNA codon recognition, and the 3' end, to which the tRNAs corresponding amino acid is attached (by aminoacyl-tRNA synthetases). tRNAs cope with the degeneracy of the genetic code in two manners: having more than one tRNA (with a specific anti-codon) for a particular amino acid; and 'wobble' base-pairing, i.e. permitting non-standard base-pairing at the 3rd anti-codon position.
Source: Rfam by way of RNAcentral
GGAGAGUUGGCAGAGCGGUUGAAUGCACCGGUCUUGAAAACCGGCGACGUCGCGAGGCGUCCGUGGGUUCGAAUCCCACACUCUCCG